RNAcentral lists this ribosomal RNA (433 nucleotides) under uncultured bacterium. Its description in RNAcentral is "partial 16S ribosomal RNA". It matches the Rfam family "Bacterial small subunit ribosomal RNA", at positions 29 to 507 of the family's 1533-position model. The record is from RNAcentral.
AACGAACGCUGGCGGCAUGCCUAACACAUGCAAGUCGAACGAGACCUUCGGGUCUAGUGGCGCACGGGUGCGUAACGCGUGGGAACCUGCCCUUAGGUUCGGAAUAACUCCCCGAAAGGGGUGCUAAUACCGGAUAAUGUCUUCGGACCAAAGAUUUAUCGCCUUUGGAUGGGGCCGCGUUGGAUUAGCUAGUUGGUAGGGUAAAAGCCUACCAAGGCGACGAUCCAUAGCUGGUCUGAGAGGAUGAUCAGCCACACUGGGACUGAGACACGGCCCAGACUCCUACGGGAGGCAGCAGUGGGGAAUAUUGGACAAUGGGCGAAAGCCUGAUCCAGCAAUGCCGCGUGAGUGAUGAAGGCCUUAGGGUUGUAAAGCUCUUUUACCCGGGAUGAUAAUGACAGUACCGGGAGAAUAAGCUCCGGCUAACUCCGUG